Chiloscyllium plagiosum (whitespotted bambooshark) is the source of this 277-nucleotide non-coding RNA. Lineage: Eukaryota; Metazoa; Chordata; Chondrichthyes; Orectolobiformes; Hemiscylliidae. The record is from RefSeq and is a predicted model, not a curated record.
UGCACAUCCCUCAGUGUUAUAAAGAUUUUCUUAUGCAGUUCAGAGUCUGUGAUCUAUCUGCAUAUAUUACAUUUGGCCCCCUCCUUUUGCACUAUCAUGGAUGCUGUAGUAUUGUUUCCACAAAAUCACUAUGCCUUUUGGAAAGCUUCCCCAUCAGUUUUUUCUUGGUAAUUGAAUCUCUGAUGUCCAAGGUGGCUGUUGAAAUGUGCAGUUACGUAAUCCUCGCACCCGCGGCUCACGCGCAGGCCCGUUGGCUGACGCUGCCGCACCCUAUUGG